UCAAAGGUUUAAUUGAUAGGUAUUGAGAUUUUAAUAUACCUUAGAGUUGAUUUGAAUUAGUUAGAUUUUGGCUAGGAUUUGGUUCAAGGUUUAGAGUUUGUUUAGGAUUUAAGAUUUGUUUAAGAUUUAGUUUAGAAUUUAAGAUUUAUCUAAUAUUUUCUUUAAGAUUUAGGAUUUGUCUAAGAUUUGGUUUAGGAUUUAAGAUUUAAUUAAUAAUUAGGAUUU
Molecule: long non-coding RNA, 225 nt
Filed under: Physcomitrium patens
Lineage: Eukaryota; Viridiplantae; Streptophyta; Bryopsida; Funariales; Funariaceae
Description: long non-coding RNA (PPAT_LNC014661)
Source: RNAcentral